GAUGAAGAACGUAGUGAAAUGCGAUAAUUAAUGUGAAUUGCAGAAUUCAGUGAAUCAUCGAGUCUUUGAACGCACAUUGCGCCCCCUGGUAUUCCGGGGGGCAUGCCUGUCCGAGCGUCAUUGCUGCCCAUCAAGCACGGCUUGUGUGUUGGGUCCUCGUCCCCCCCGGGGGACGUGCCCGAAAGGCAGCGGCGGCACCGCGUCCGGUCCUCGAGCGUAUGGGGCUUUGUCACCCGCUCUGCAGGCCCGGCCGGCGCUGGCCGACGCGAAAGCAACCAUUUUUUCUCCAGGUUGACCUCGGAUCAGGUAGGGAUACCCGCUGAACUUAAGCAUAUCAAUAAGCGGAGGA
Molecule: unclassified non-coding RNA, 349 nt
Filed under: soil metagenome
Description: partial contains 5.8S ribosomal RNA, internal transcribed spacer 2, and large subunit ribosomal RNA
Rfam family: 5.8S ribosomal RNA (bases 1-120)
Source: RNAcentral